Protopterus annectens (West African lungfish) is the source of this 285-nucleotide long non-coding RNA. RefSeq lists it as uncharacterized. The record is from RefSeq and is a predicted model, not a curated record. Lineage: Eukaryota; Metazoa; Chordata; Ceratodontiformes; Protopteridae. The transcript is spliced from 8 exons.
AGCUGAUCUCUGUUGUUGCACUGAGCACUGCUCUGCUCCUGGUCAGUGUCCGCACAGCAAGAACAGAUGAACAUGACAUGUUAGAAAAUGAGUUACGGGACCUUGAGAGAGAACUUGGUGAACUUUCCACUGAUCUUGAUGUUUAUGAGCAGAUAAAUGACAACAAAGAACUGAAGAAGAGAACAAAGCCCGGCAUUCAGAUGGCAAAAAGAGUUGGUAAAGAAGUAAUAAAGCAUGCUGAUGCAAGAAAAGUCUGGGAUGCAGCUGACAAAGUAGCCGAUGAAG